ACCAAAGCAGAGCAGUAGAAAGCUGCCAAUCAGGGGGAAGAGAAGCAAACAACAACCAUACAAUCUUCUUGGGAAUCCAACACAAGUGCUCCAUUCCCCUGCAGCACCUCCGCAGGAAAAAAGAAGUAUUACACCAGUCCUAUUGACAACAAUAGUCCAUUGUAGUAUGCAUGGAAGUCUUUGGUCCUCCAAAACGCUCCAGUCAUACAGGGGCCCCGAGGCACGAACACCAGAGAUCACAUCAUCUGAAGAGACGGAGACUUUUUUAAGCAGAAAUAUGUUAUGUUUAGUAAUCAAGAUCAGCAACGUCGGGAGAUGGCUAUCUAUAUGCUGCCCGCACGAUGAGACGACUUAGAAAAACGUCCUGAUAAACAAUGAAGAACGCACAAAGAAAUUCAAAAGCUU
Long non-coding RNA from Hyla sarda, 405 nucleotides. RefSeq lists it as uncharacterized. Lineage: Eukaryota; Metazoa; Chordata; Amphibia; Anura; Hylidae. The transcript has 4 exons. The record is from RefSeq and is a predicted model, not a curated record.